Aricia agestis (brown argus) is the source of this 578-nucleotide long non-coding RNA. RefSeq lists it as uncharacterized. The transcript has 3 exons. The record is from RefSeq and is a predicted model, not a curated record. NCBI's taxonomy places the organism in Eukaryota, Metazoa, Arthropoda, Insecta, Lepidoptera, Lycaenidae.
GUCUGUCUGUCUGAUGUAUGCGUUGCGUCGUCGUAGACAAAACAGUUUCGUCUUGGUAUGCACCGCGUGGUAGACACAACUGUUUCUCUUUAAUCGUAAAACUGACUCGUUUAUGUGAAACAAGAUUGUCUAAAAACUGUCGUGUUUUUAAUGUGUGCGGUGGCCCUUAUUGUUUGUAAUUAUGACAAGUUAUUAAACAGUAGAUAAGUAUUACUAACUUCUCUUCUUUUGAAUUCAGAUUUCAGAUCUAAAGACGGCUAUGGACUAGAAAAGGGACGCGGUCCGUGGUCACUGGUCAACCACUUGAGUCAAUCUGUGUGUCUAAUGUCCUACUUCCAUCUCCUGUGCCAUUUCAAAAAUUACUAGACGUGGGGUCCAAUUCUCGUAUCUACGAACUUCGAUUCGCUGUCCCGCUUGUUCCGCACGAUAUUGAGGAAGUGUGAGUGAGACGGCCUUAUAUCCGCGAUUAAAGUAGGCUGCACAUAUAUUCUGUGGCUGCAUUCCAUUGUUUCGUCGUUCGUUUAACCAUUACUUAACAUUAAUUUAAUGAAGGUAUUGCCAUAGUUUCAUAUAUUUUC